CCCUUAGAUGUUCUGGGCCGCACGCGCGCUACACUGAUACGUUCAACGAGUCUACCUUACCCGAUAGGGCUAGGGUAAUCUUUUGAAAUCGUAUCGUGAUGGGGAUAGAUGAUUGUAAUUGUUCAUCUUCAACGAGGAAUUCCUAGUAGGCGUGAGUCAUCAGCUCGCGCCGAUUACGUCCCUGCCCUUUGUACACACCGCCCGUCGCUCCUACCGAUUGGAUGAUGCGGUGAACUGUUUGGACCGUAGGCGAGUUUGGGGCAACCCGCUCGUCAAUGGAAAGUUCCGUAAACCUUAUCAUCUAGAGGAAGGAGAAGUCGUAACA
This 325-nucleotide ribosomal RNA is filed under the name uncultured eukaryote. RNAcentral's name for it is "partial 18S ribosomal RNA". It matches the Rfam family "Eukaryotic small subunit ribosomal RNA", at positions 1470 to 1796 of the family's 1831-position model. The record is from RNAcentral.